GAUGAACGCUGGCGGCGUGCUUAACACAUGCAAGUCGAACGAAGCACUUUAACCUGAUUCUUCGGAUGAAGGUUUUUGUGACUGAGUGGCGGACGGGUGAGUAACGCGUGGGUAACCUGCCUCAUACAGGGGGAUAACAGUUAGAAAUGACUGCUAAUACCGCAUAAGACCACGGAGCCGCAUGGCUCAGUGGGAAAAACUCCGGUGGUAUGAGAUGGACCCGCGUCUGAUUAGGUAGUUGGUGGGGUAACGGCCUACCAAGCCAACGAUCAGUAGCCGACCUGAGAGGGUGACCGGCCACAUUGGGACUGAGACACGGCCCAAACUCCUACGGGAGGCAGCAGUGGGGAAUAUCGCACAAUGGGGGGAACCCUGAUGCGGCGACGCCGCGUGAGCGAAGAAGUAUUUCGGUAUGUAAAGCUUUAUCAGCAGGGAAGAAAAUGACGGUACCUGACUAAGAAGCACCGGCUAAAUACGUGCCAGCAGCCGCGGUAAUACGUAUGGUGCAAGCGUUAUCCGGAUUUACUGGGUGUAAAGGGAGCGUAGACGGCUGUGUAAGUCUGAAGUGAAAGCCCGGGGCUCAACCCCGGGACUGCUUUGGAAACUAUGCAGCUAGAGUGUCGGAGAGGUAAGUGGAAUUCCCAGUGUAGCGGUGAAAUGCGUAGAUAUUGGGAGGAACACCAGUGGCGAAGGCGGCUUACUGGACGAUGACUGACGUUGAGGCUCGAAAGCGUGGGGAGCAAACAGGAUCUGAUACCCUGGUAGUCCACGCCGUAAACGAUGACUACUAGGUGUCGGGGAGCAAAGCUCUUCGGUGCCGCAGCAAACGCAAUAAGUAGUCCACCUGGGGAGUACGUUCGCAAGAAUGAAACUCAAAGGAAUUGACGGGGACCCGCACAAGCGGUGGAGCAUGUGGUUUAAUUCGAAGCAACGCGAAGAACCUUACCUGCUCUUGACAUCCCGGUGACCGGCAUGUAAUGAUGCCUUUUCUUCGGAACACCGGUGACAGGUGGUGCAUGGUUGUCGUCAGCUCGUGUCGUGAGAUGUUGGGUUAAGUCCCGCAACGAGCGCAACCCUUAUCUUCAGUAGCCAGCAUUUUGGAUGGGCACUCUGGAGAGACUGCCAGGGAUAACCUGGAGGAAGGUGGGGAGGACGUCAAAUCAUCAUGCCCCCUAUGAGCAGGGCUACACACGUGCUACAAUGGCGUAAACAAAGGGAAGCGAGCCUGCGAGGGUAAGCAAAUCUCAAAAAUAACGUCUCAGUUCGGAUUGUAGUCUGCAACUCGACUACAUGAAGCUGGAAUCGCUAGUAAUCGCAGAUCAGAAUGCUGCGGUGAAUACGUUCCCGGGUCUUGCAC
Molecule: ribosomal RNA, 1357 nt
Filed under: uncultured bacterium
Lineage: Bacteria
Description: 16S ribosomal RNA
Rfam family: Bacterial small subunit ribosomal RNA
Source: RNAcentral